This 1337-nucleotide long non-coding RNA is filed under the name Anser brachyrhynchus (Pink-footed goose). Its description in RNAcentral is "lncRNA (ENSABRG00000015803.1)". Lineage: Eukaryota; Metazoa; Chordata; Aves; Anseriformes; Anatidae. The record is from RNAcentral.
UCACUGAGAUCCACACUGCCCCCUCGCAGGUGGCAGCCCAGCCCCAGGGCUGAGGGGCUGCGCUGGGGCAGGCGAGCUCCUGGCUCCAAGUCUGCCUGGGCCCUGCCAGGCCCUCGCCUAGGCUGAGGGGAAAACAAAGGGCUGGGGAAACGUGGAAGCCUUGUAGAAGAUGGCCAACUUAACAACCACCUCCCUGUCUUCAGAGAGGGAGGGAGUCCCCCUGUGUGAGGGAAGCAGACAAGCAAGGCCCUGAGGAGAAGUGUAGAGGCAAUGAAUGGCUUAGAGCACAGGCUGGAGCUGCUGGUCAAUCAGGCUGUUAAUUUUAAUUUUCAUGUUGGCUGUUGAGGUGGUGUUUUCACUUAAAGCUCAUCAUCAUCACCUGUGUCUCCUGAAGUGGUCCUCCAUGUUUUUAUGCUGAUGUGUGCUUGGUGUCAAGCUGAUAUUAGUUUUACUAAGCAUGAAGGUCUCAUGAACUUGUUGAUUAAUUAGAUUCUCUUUAAACAUUUCUUGUGUUUGGAUAUCCAUGAGAUCUUAAAAACUUUGAAACAGUAUUUCUUUAACAGUACAUUGGAGAUAUAUGCUCCCUUUUGGCUGUGAUCAAAGAUUGCCAAUCAACUGAAGAAGUUAUUAUUGUAUGUACAAUUAAAUUCUUUACACAAGCUAUGCUGAAAAGUUUGUGUUAAGGCCUUCUUGGCCAGAAAUGGUUUCUCAGCAGUUGAUGAAGGAGGGGAGGGAGAGCAGGAGGCAAGGACAACAGAAACUGGAAAGAAAGAAAAAAUAAUGACAGGCAGGAGGAGCAGUCUCAUGGAGAGGGAGUUACCUACAUGGCAGUCACUGAAAACACCUCUCAAGUUUUCACAGAUUCUUGCAGCUGGAUCAGGAGGUGUUGAUCUCCUGUGGCCUACUGUGUAGCAUGGAGAGCUGCAGAUAUCACCAAGGGAUUUUUGCACCAGAUCUGCAACAGAUUUAAGAUAAAAACCUGGUCUCAGUUUAGAUGUUGAGGGUCAAAGGAUAUGCUGUGUCUCUAGGUAAAGUAUUGGAAUGGAAAGGUGCACUUGCCAUUGAAUAACAGAAACUUCACUGAAUCUCCAGCCAAUCAAUCUUGAUUAUAAGAAAAUGCAUCACUUAUAAGUAUUUAUAAACAGGUUUGCUGAGGUGAGGGGCCCGCAUAUUUUCACCAUGACCUAGCAAAGCCAAGGGGUCUGGAGAAGUCACCUGGCUCCAUCCUGCCUGUAGUACAGCCAUUUUUCAGACUUUAGUUCUCAUGUGAUAUAGGGACUUUUAAUUUAUUUUUUUUUUCAGCUACUGUGUAAUAAAACGAGUAUGCUUAUGAAGCA